Molecule: small nuclear RNA, 108 nt
Organism: Sorex araneus (European shrew)
Lineage: Eukaryota; Metazoa; Chordata; Mammalia; Eulipotyphla; Soricidae
Source: Ensembl
GCGCUAUUGCUCCAGCCCAUAUAAUAAAAUUGAAACAAUACAAAGCAGAUCAGCAUGGCUCCUGCAUAAGGAUGACAUGCUCUUAACUUAUAGUUAAGUAUGGUGCUU